Exaiptasia diaphana is the source of this 1057-nucleotide long non-coding RNA. RefSeq lists it as uncharacterized. The record is from RefSeq and is a predicted model, not a curated record. Lineage: Eukaryota; Metazoa; Cnidaria; Anthozoa; Actiniaria; Aiptasiidae. The transcript has 3 exons.
CAAUUUCACGGUCCCAUGGGAUCGCCUGGUUCUUUAGUAGAAAGUGUGCCUCGGGCGAGUUGAAAAGAACCCUUUGUAGUCUUUGUUGGUUAUGAUUAUUUGUUUACAAUACGAACAAACAUCGCGUUCCAUUGACUGACCAAAACCUGUUAUCAAAAUUCAUACUCCUUUGACCUGUGGUGUCUGGUGUGAUUCUACGUGGAUGCUUUGUGGCGCUUAAAACAGACCUUGACUCAAAGACAUUUGGUGAAUGAAUAGACGCAUAGCUGUUCCUUGCUUUUAGUAAGUCAAGCCGAAUUCACUCAAGAGAUUAGCCAAAGGAUUUCGUGUUAUAAAAGAUCUUCACAAGUCAAAAUAAUGUUGACUUKCAUGUCUUGGUAACUGUCAUUAGAAGUGAUCUCGUAAGUCAUUGUCAAACCUUUAGUCAAUUUGGUACGUCGYUCCUAAUAUUGGAAGCUUUGAUCAACGAUGUUACAAGGUAAUUGAUCAAUCGCCGUGCAUUGGAACGUUUCGAAGAGAUGAUCGUGGUUACCAUGGAAUCAAGACUGUAACUCCACUUAAGACCUCUACAUUAGUAUCAGUAGAUUAUCGAACAAAGCAGACUGAAAUGAUAUAUCAUAUAUCAUCCAUGAGCUAAUUCUUGAGUUAAUUGCUAAAAGAAGUUAAAGUUAUACACCUCAAACCAUCACAGAACUGCUAACGCUUCUAAAAGCAAGUAUCGGAAAUGAUGGCUUACGAUAAAUCAAUUAUCAACAUCGACAUCAACUUUGAUAAUGAACCUUUCAUGGCAAGUCAGCCUAGUAAACCAAAGUUUGUCAAAAAGAUCCCAAAAGAUCGAAUUACAGUGAUACAACCAAGUGUAGAAUCCACAAAAACUGAGUCUGAUAUUGAGAAAAGAGUUAAUGAAGUGCAAAGGUUUCGCCGAGAGAGUCAGAGUGCCUUAAAUGCACCUUUACUUGUGAAAGCAUUGAUAAAGAAGACAUACUGCAAGCUUGAUACAAUCGCGGGCCGAUCUUCUUCUGUGGCGUUAGAGGUAAGCUAAAAGGCCAUAAUCAAC